GAUGAACGCUGGCGGCGUGCCUAAUACAUGCAAGUCGAGCGAACGGACGAGAAGCUUGCUUCUCUGAUGUUAGCGGCGGACGGGUGAGUAACACGUGGAUAACCUACCUAUAAGACUGGGAUAACUUCGGGAAACCGGAGCUAAUACCGGAUAAUAUUUUGAACCGCAUGGUUCAAAAGUGAAAGACGGUCUUGCUGUCACUUAUAGAUGGAUCCGCGCUGCAUUAGCUAGUUGGUAAGGUAACGGCUUACCAAGGCAACGAUGCAUAGCCGACCUGAGAGGGUGAUCGGCCACACUGGAACUGAGACACGGUCCAGACUCCUACGGGAGGCAGCAGUAGGGAAUCUUCCGCAAUGGGCGAAAGCCUGACGGAGCAACGCCGCGUGAGUGAUGAAGGUCUUCGGAUCGUAAAACUCUGUUAUUAGGAAAGAACAUAUGUGUAAGUAACUGUGCACAUCUUGACGGUACCUAAUCAGAAAGCCACGGCUAACUACGUGCCAGCAGCCGCGGUAAUACGUAGGUGGCAAGCGUUAUCCGGAAUUAUUGGGCGUAAAGCGCGCGUAGGCGGUUUUUUAAGUCUGAUGUGAAAGCCCACGGCUCACCCGUGGAGGGUCAUUGGAAACUGGAAAACUUGAGUGCAGAAGAGGAAAGUGGAAUUCCAUGUGUAGCGGUGAAAUGCGCAGAGAUAUGGAGGAACACCAGUGGCGAAGGCGACUUUCUGGUCUGUAACUGACGCUGAUGUGCGAAAGCGUGGGGAUCAAACAGGAUUAGAUACCCUGGUAGUCCACGCCGUAAACGAUGAGUGCUAAGUGUUAGGGGGUUUCCGCCCCUUAGUGCUGCAGCUAACGCAUUAAGCACUCCGCCUGGGGAGUACGACCGCAAGGUUGAAACUCAAAGGAAUUGACGGGGACCCGCACAAGCGGUGGAGCAUGUGGUUUAAUUCGAAGCAACGCGAAGAACCUUACCAAAUCUUGACAUCCUUUGACAACUCUAGAGAUAGAGCCUUCCCCUUCGGGGGACAAAGUGACAGGUGGUGCAUGGUUGUCGUCAGCUCGUGUCGUGAGAUGUUGGGUUAAGUCCCGCAACGAGCGCAACCCUUAAGCUUAGUUGCCAUCAUUAAGUUGGGCACUCUAAGUUGACUGCCGGUGACAAACCGGAGGAAGGUGGGGAUGACGUCAAAUCAUCAUGCCCCUUAUGAUUUGGGCUACACACGUGCUACAAUGGACAAUACAAAGGGCAGCGAAACCGCGAGGUCAAGCAAAUCCCAUAAAGUUGUUCUCAGUUCGGAUUGUAGUCUGCAACUCGACUACAUGAAGCUGGAAUCGCUAGUAAUCGUAGAUCAGCAUGCUACGGUGAAUACGUUCCCGGGUCU
This 1372-nucleotide ribosomal RNA is filed under the name uncultured bacterium. RNAcentral describes it as "bacterial SSU rRNA". It matches the Rfam family "Bacterial small subunit ribosomal RNA", at positions 28 to 1381 of the family's 1533-position model. The record is from RNAcentral.